This 1235-nucleotide ribosomal RNA is filed under the name Rhodotorula mucilaginosa. RNAcentral describes it as "SSU rRNA". It matches the Rfam family "Eukaryotic small subunit ribosomal RNA", at positions 474 to 1735 of the family's 1831-position model. Lineage: Eukaryota; Fungi; Basidiomycota; Microbotryomycetes; Sporidiobolales; Sporidiobolaceae. The record is from RNAcentral.
UAAAUAACAAUGCAGGGCUCUUACGGGUCUUGCAAUUGGAAUGAGUACAAUUUAAAUCCCUUAACGAGGAUCAAUUGGAGGGCAAGUCUGGUGCCAGCAGCCGCGGUAAUUCCAGCUCCAAUAGCGUAUAUUAAAAUUGUUGCCGUUAAAAAGCUCGUAGUCGAACUUCGGGCUCUGUCAGCCGGUCCGCCUUCUUGGUGUGUACUUGUUUGACGGAGCCUUACCUCCUGGUGAACGGCGAUGUCCUUUACUGGGUGUCGUCGCAAACCAGGACUUUUACUUUGAAAAAAUUAGAGUGUUCAAAGCAGGCCUUUGCCCGAAUACAUUAGCAUGGAAUAAUAAAAUAGGACGCGCGUUCCCAUUUUGUUGGUUUCUGAGAUCGCCGUAAUGAUUAAUAGGGAUAGUUGGGGGCAUUUGUAUUCCGUCGUCAGAGGUGAAAUUCUUGGAUUGCCGGAAGACAAACUACUGCGAAAGCAUUUGCCAAGGAUGUUUUCAUUGAUCAAGAACGAAGGAAGGGGGAUCGAAAACGAUUAGAUACCGUUGUAGUCUCUUCUGUAAACUAUGCCAAUUGGGGAUCGGUACAGGAUUUUUAAUGACUGUAUCGGCACCCGAAGAGAAAUCUUUAAAUGAGGUUCGGGGGGGAGUAUGGUCGCAAGGCUGAAACUUAAAGGAAUUGACGGAAGGGCACCACCAGGUGUGGAGCCUGCGGCUUAAUUUGACUCAACACGGGGAAACUCACCAGGUCCAGACACAAUAAGGAUUGACAGAUUGAUAGCUCUUUCUUGAUCUUGUGGUUGGUGGUGCAUGGCCGUUCUUAGUUGGUGGAGUGAUUUGUCUGGUUAAUUCCGAUAACGAACGAGACCUUAACCUGCUAAAUAGACCAGCCGGCUUUGGCUAGCUGCUGUCUUCUUAGAGGGACUAUCAGCGUUUAGCUGAUGGAAGUUUGAGGCAAUAACAGGUCUGUGAUGCCCUUAGAUGUUCUGGGCCGCACGCGCGCUACACUGACAGAGCCAGCGAGUCUACCACCUUUGCCGGAAGGCAUGGGUAAUCUUGUGAAACUCUGUCGUGAUGGGGAUAGAACAUUGCAAUUAUUGUUCUUCAACGAGGAAUACCUAGUAAGCGUGAUUCAUCAGAUCGCGUUGAUUACGUCCCUGCCCUUUGUACACACCGCCCGUCGCUACUACCGAUUGAAUGGCUUAGUGAGGCCUCCGGAUUGGCUAUUGGGAGCUCGCGAG